UACGUAGGUGGCAAGCGUUGUCCGGAUUUAUUGGGUUUAAAGGGUGCGUAGGCGGUUUUGUAAGUCAGUGGUGAAAUAUAGCAGCUUAACUGUUAUGGUGCCAUUGAUACUGCAGAACUUGAGUACAGAUGAGGUAGGCGGAAUUGACGGUGUAGCGGUGAAAUGCUUAGAUAUCGUCAAGAACACCUAUAGCGAAGGCAGCUUACUAGGCUGUAACUGACGCUGAGGCACGAAAGUGUGGGGAUCAAACAGG
Molecule: ribosomal RNA, 253 nt
Filed under: uncultured bacterium
Lineage: Bacteria
Description: partial 16S ribosomal RNA
Rfam family: Bacterial small subunit ribosomal RNA
Source: RNAcentral